Acanthosepion pharaonis is the source of this 108-nucleotide non-coding RNA. Lineage: Eukaryota; Metazoa; Mollusca; Cephalopoda; Sepiida; Sepiidae. The record is from the annotation of a GenBank genome assembly.
GGUCACAUCACAUUCAAACCAGCUCCCGUACGAUCACGGCAGUUAAGCAGCAUCGAGCCUGGUCAGUACCGAGAUGGGUGACCGCUUGGGAAUACCAGGUGCUGUAGG